Lolium rigidum is the source of this 548-nucleotide long non-coding RNA. RefSeq lists it as uncharacterized. The record is from RefSeq and is a predicted model, not a curated record. NCBI's taxonomy places the organism in Eukaryota, Viridiplantae, Streptophyta, Magnoliopsida, Poales, Poaceae. The transcript has 3 exons.
GAGGCAGGGACGGGCCGGCUGACGAGGGCGUCAGGGAAAAGUAGGCGUUGAGGAAGAGGAAGAGGUCGUCGAGGAAGAAGCAUAUGAAGGAGGACAGGGGGCCCAUUGAGGGAGAAGAGGUGGUAGGGUCUGGGUCGUCGUCCGGCGGGAAGGAUGGCGGGUGCAGGGACGGGGCGAGGAGGAUGAUGGAUGGGAGAGGGAGAUCCGAGAGGUGAACGGCAGCACAAUUGGAUUCCAGUUUACAGUUCACAUCAUGAUUUAUUGUUCUUGAUUUGUCCAUCAACUGGAUUAUUUCGAAGCUCAUAGUUCAUCAGGAGAUGCAACAGUUUAGGUGGAAAGCAUGACCAUUUAGAGUGGAGAGACAACCAUGAUGCCAACCAAUUUUGAGUGAUUACAUACCUCAAAACUUCUGUGAUGAUCAUCACACACCUUGUAAACUAUCCCAAAACUUCUCUGAUGUUCAGUCGGCCAGCCAUGCUUGAGGGUACCGUUAUAUAUGGCGGGUCCCAUGAUUACACGAAAUCAUCAGAGAUCUGGGUCAAGUACCG